Molecule: small nucleolar RNA, 134 nt
Gene: SNORA70
Rfam family: Small nucleolar RNA SNORA70
About the family: snoRNA U70 seems to be exclusive to mammals and is a member of the H/ACA class of snoRNA which contain H (ANANNA) and ACA box motifs. H/ACA box snoRNAs are involved in the conversion of uridines to pseudouridines (5-ribosyluracil) a constituent of structural RNAs (transfer, ribosomal, small nuclear, and small nucleolar).
Source: Ensembl
CUGCCGCUAGUUAAGCCAACUGUGCUCUUUCCCCACGGAGGCCUGCUGGGCCGUGGCCGAAAACAGUAGCCUCCUGGGUAGUGUAAGCAGCCUGUUGCUUGUUGGGGUUGCCCUAAGGGACCUUGGAGACAGCC